This 430-nucleotide ribosomal RNA is filed under the name uncultured bacterium. Its description in RNAcentral is "bacterial SSU rRNA". It matches the Rfam family "Bacterial small subunit ribosomal RNA", at positions 355 to 772 of the family's 1533-position model. The record is from RNAcentral.
UGGGGAAUAUUGCACAAUGGGCGAAAGCCUGAUGCAGCCAUGCCGCGUGUGUGAAGAAGGCUCUAGGGUUGUAAAGCACUUUCAGUAGGGAGGAAAGGUUGAUGGUUAAUACCCAUCAGCUGUGACGUUACCUACAGAAGAAGCACCGGCUAACUCCGUGCCAGCAGCCGCGGUAAUACGGAGGGUGCAAGCGUUAAUCGGAAUUACUGGGCGUAAAGCGUGCGUAGGCGGCUACCUAAGUUGGAUGUGAAAGCCCCGGGCUCAACCUGGGAACUGCAUCCAAAACUGGGUGGCUAGAGUGCGAGAGAGGAGUGUGGAAAUUUUCCCUGUGUAGCGGUGAAAAUGCGUAGAUAUAGGAAGGAAACACCAGUGGCGAAGGCGACACUCUGGCUUGACACUGACGCUGAGGUACGAAAGCGUGGGGAGCAAA